RNAcentral lists this ribosomal RNA (513 nucleotides) under Cybocephalus sp. MJM-2013. RNAcentral's name for it is "partial 16S ribosomal RNA". The stretch from base 387 to 513 matches the Rfam family "Bacterial large subunit ribosomal RNA", at positions 2473 to 2600 of the family's 2925-position model. Lineage: Eukaryota; Metazoa; Arthropoda; Insecta; Coleoptera; Nitidulidae. The record is from RNAcentral.
GUCUUUUUGAAAAUAAUUUAAAGUCUAACCUGCCCUAUGAAAUUUUAAAUGGCUGCAGUAUUUUAACUGUACAAAGGUAGCAUAAUAAUUAGUUUCUUAAUUAGAAACUGGAAUGAAUGGUUGGACGAGAUAAUUUCUGUCUCUAAUUUAAUAUUAUAGAAUUUUAUUUUUAAGUGAAAAAGCUUAAAUUUAUUUAAAAGACGAGAAGACCCUAUAGAGUUUAAUAAUUAUAUUAAAUUAUUUUUUUUUAGAAUUUUUAUUAAUUUAAUUUUAUAUUUUAUUUUGUUGGGGUGAUGUAAAAAUUUAAUUAACUUUUUAUUUUAAAAAUCAUUUAUUUAUGUUUAAUUGAUCCAUUUUUUAUGAUUAAAAGAUUAAAUUACCUUAGGGAUAACAGCGUAAUUUUUUUUUAGAGUUCUUAUUAAAAAAAAAGAUUGCGACCUCGAUGUUGGAUUAAAAUUUAUAAUUGGUGUAGUAGCUAGUUUAUUAAGCCUGUUCGACUUUUAAAAUUUUACA